RNAcentral lists this ribosomal RNA (168 nucleotides) under Arthroderma uncinatum. RNAcentral's name for it is "5.8S ribosomal RNA". It matches the Rfam family "5.8S ribosomal RNA". Rfam says of the family: 5.8S ribosomal RNA (5.8S rRNA) is a component of the large subunit of the eukaryotic ribosome. It is transcribed by RNA polymerase I as part of the 45S precursor that also contains 18S and 28S rRNA. The record is from RNAcentral. Lineage: Eukaryota; Fungi; Ascomycota; Eurotiomycetes; Onygenales; Arthrodermataceae.
AAAACUUUCAACAACGGAUCUCUUGGUUCCGGCAUCGAUGAAGAACGCAGCGAAAUGCGAUAAGUAAUGUGAAUUGCAGAAUUCCGUGAAUCAUCGAAUCUUUGAACGCACAUUGCGCCCCCUGGUAUUCCGGGGGGCAUGCCUGUUCGAGCGUCAUUUCAACCCUCA